This 21-nucleotide microRNA is filed under the name Ciona intestinalis (vase tunicate). RNAcentral describes it as "Cin-Mir-1502-P2_3p* (star (passenger))". The record is from RNAcentral. Lineage: Eukaryota; Metazoa; Chordata; Ascidiacea; Phlebobranchia; Cionidae.
AGACUUUUCAGGUAGUUCACA